AGGCCGCUAGCUCAGUUGGUAGAGCACAUGACUUUUAAUCAUGUGGUCGCGGGUUCGACUCCCGCGCGGCCUACCA
RNAcentral lists this transfer RNA (76 nucleotides) under Lentisphaerota bacterium. RNAcentral's name for it is "Lentisphaerae bacterium (freshwater metagenome) tRNA-Lys". It matches the Rfam family "tRNA". From Rfam's summary of the family: Transfer RNA (tRNA) molecules are approximately 80 nucleotides in length. Their secondary structure includes four short double-helical elements and three loops (D, anti-codon, and T loops). The record is from RNAcentral. Lineage: Bacteria; Pseudomonadati; Lentisphaerota.